This 440-nucleotide ribosomal RNA is filed under the name uncultured bacterium. RNAcentral's name for it is "partial 16S ribosomal RNA". It matches the Rfam family "Bacterial small subunit ribosomal RNA", at positions 338 to 795 of the family's 1533-position model. The record is from RNAcentral.
CCUACGGGUGGCUGCAGUGGGGGAUAUUGCACAAUGGGGGGAACCCUGAUGCAGCGACGCCGCGUGGGUGAAGAAGCGCCUCGGCGCGUAAAGCCCUGUCAGCAGGGAAGAAAAUGACGGCACCUGAAGCUGAAGCACCGGCUAACUACGUGCCAGCAGCCGCGGCAAUACGUAGGGGGCAAGCGUUAUCCGGAUUUACUGGGUGUAAAGGGGGCGCAGACGGCGGUGCAAGCCAGGAGUGAAAGCCCGGGGCCCAACCCCGGGACUGCUCUUGGAACUGCGUGGCUGGAGUGCAGGAGAGGCAGGCGGAAUUCGUGGUGUAGCGGUGAAAUGCGUAGAUAGCAGGAGGAACACCGGUGGCGAAGGCGGCCUGCUGGACUGCAACUGACGCUGAGGCACGAAAGUGCGGGGAUCGAACAGGAUUAGAUACCCGUGUAGUC